UACGUAGGGGGCUAGCGUUGUCCGGAAUCAUUGGGCGUAAAGCGCGUGUAGGCGGUCCGGUAAGUCCGCUGUGAAAGUCGGGGGCUCAACCCUCGAAUGCCGGUGGAUACUGUCGGGCUAGAGUGCGGAAGAGGCGAGUGGAAUUCCUGGUGUAGCGGUGGAAUGCGCAGAUAUCAGGAGGAACACCGAUAGCGAAGGCAGCUCGCUGGGACGGUACUGACGCUGAGGUGCGAAAGCGUGGGGAGCAAACAGG
Molecule: ribosomal RNA, 253 nt
Filed under: uncultured bacterium
Lineage: Bacteria
Description: partial 16S ribosomal RNA
Rfam family: Bacterial small subunit ribosomal RNA
Source: RNAcentral